UACAGUUCUUGUAAAGUUUAUGAACAGGGAGAGGUUGGAAUUAUAUACUGUAUGAAAGCAGGAGAAGAAGAAUCUAGGGUUUGUAUCAGAUUUGAGCUUUUGGGAAAAAAAAAAAUCUGGCAAAUAAUUCAUCCUUGGCAAGAGCCCUGCUGUUAAAAGAUUUUCUUCUGGAUCUGCACUUCUUGCUCAGAAAACAGAGUUGCCCAACAACACAGGUUGCCUGUGCUUUAUCUGCUGUUUGUACAUCACAUAAAUCCAUCUGCCAAAUAAGUAGAUUGGAGAAUGCCAACUUGGAUCAAAAUACUCCACGAAAUUUAAUUUAAACUCCCUAAGAUGGAUAAUGUUCA
This is a long non-coding RNA of Vidua chalybeata, 347 nucleotides long. RefSeq lists it as uncharacterized. The transcript has 3 exons. The record is from RefSeq and is a predicted model, not a curated record. Lineage: Eukaryota; Metazoa; Chordata; Aves; Passeriformes; Viduidae.